AGCUUAACACUAAUUGUAUUGAAUCAAAGAUUAAGAAAUACAAAAUGUCAAAUAUAUCCUUUUAUAGGAUUAAGAGUUAACUAACUAUCUUAUUACUACACUAAUUAAUGAUAUAGCUUCUAAUAACUAGAAACUGUAUCUGCUCUGAUCUUCUCAACAUCAGCUCGUAUACCUACUCCAUUUACCAGCAUCGUAUCACAUACAUAUAAGUUAUAACUAAAGAGGAAAAGAAGAACUUGAAAAACCUUUUUUUUUCUGACAUAACUAAAAGAGCUCGUGUCCUCUAGACGAGAUGCACAGUGUGGAUGAUGGCCGGAAUCGGAAAUCCCUAAUCGGAUGAGCGACCGGAAGUGAGGAAAAUAGUUAUUUGUG
RNAcentral lists this long non-coding RNA (372 nucleotides) under Zostera marina. RNAcentral describes it as "long non-coding RNA (ZMAR_LNC003746)". Lineage: Eukaryota; Viridiplantae; Streptophyta; Magnoliopsida; Alismatales; Zosteraceae. The record is from RNAcentral.